CAAAAUGGGAGGUAAAUUUCUCCUAAGGCUAAAUAUCGGCGAGAGACCGAUAGCGAACAAGUACCGUGAGGGAAAGAUGAAAAGAACUUUGAAAAGAGAGUAAAAUAGUACGUGAAAUUGUUGAAAGGGAAACGAUUGAAGUCAGUCGUACCGACGAGAAAUCAACUUAUCGUGUGCGAACUUGUGGGCGUGCGUGAGUUUCGGCCUCGCUGUUUGCAUGUUUGUGCGCUUUGGGUGUACUUUUUCGUAUGGUAGGCCAACGUCAGUUUCGAUUAUCAUAAAAUGACCGGCGGAAUGUAGCUUCGAUUUCGGUUGAAGUGUUAUAGCCUCUGGUAGAUGUGGUGAUUGAGACUGAGGAUUGCAACGAAUAUCCUUUGGGCUAUCCGUCUGGCCUCUGAAAGUUGCUCAGGUGCCGAAAGCGUGCUUACGGUUAUCUAAGAUAACGUUCAACAGGUUAGAACGUGGUUACA
This 470-nucleotide ribosomal RNA is filed under the name uncultured Glomeraceae. RNAcentral's name for it is "eukaryotic LSU rRNA". It matches the Rfam family "Eukaryotic large subunit ribosomal RNA", at positions 288 to 642 of the family's 3401-position model. Lineage: Eukaryota; Fungi; Glomeromycota; Glomeromycetes; Glomerales; Glomeraceae. The record is from RNAcentral.